GGGAGGACUAAGCCCUAUGAUGAAAACCAAUGCCCAGGUCGGGAGACCUUAUUUUUCAGUAUCCUCUACAACCUGUUGCCACUCCAUAUAACUAGGAGGAGCCGACUCCUUCCAGUGUCUUGGGAUUACUGACCUGGCAGCAUCAAGCAGAUGUAAGAAAAUCAUUAAUCCUUGUGGGUCUCCCCUCUAGUACUUGCCAUUCAUUGAAAGGUGAUACCAUACCCAAUCAACAAAAGGAGUUUGUCUUAAGAGGGAUAGAAUUUAUUUUGGAAUACAACUUCUUCUGGUAUGAAGACAAAUUCUAUCUUCAUGUGGAAUCGCCAUGGGGACUCAGUUCUUACCCAGUUAUGCCAAUCUACAUAUGGGUUAUUGGGAAGAGUACCAUGUACUUCCCCAUAUAAAACUGGGUGGACCAGAGCAAAAACUCUUGCAGUUUGUAGAAGGUCUUAACCAAGUCUAUCACAUUUUUAGAUCUAGAAAUAUAAAUAAAAGAUAUGCAUAUUAAUGUCAAAACUUUCUCAAACUAUUGUGUAAUUUCAACAAG
This is a long non-coding RNA of Xenopus laevis (African clawed frog), 544 nucleotides long. RefSeq lists it as uncharacterized. The transcript has 3 exons. NCBI's taxonomy places the organism in Eukaryota, Metazoa, Chordata, Amphibia, Anura, Pipidae. The record is from RefSeq and is a predicted model, not a curated record.